Bos indicus x Bos taurus (hybrid cattle) is the source of this 324-nucleotide long non-coding RNA. NCBI's taxonomy places the organism in Eukaryota, Metazoa, Chordata, Mammalia, Artiodactyla, Bovidae. The record is from Ensembl.
UCUCACUGUAAAUAGUUCUAUUCUGACCACUCCCAUCCGUCCUAUCCAUGCUCUUCUGAACUGGCCUUAACUCUCACUCUCUCUCUGAUUUGGCUCCAGGGUGCCGUGAGUUAUCACAUUGGGCAUCACUGUCCCCACUCCACAGGAAGGACACUGAAGUUUAGACAGUGGUCAGAAAUGUGAGGAUGAAAAUGAAUAUGGCAGAAGAGGCAGCUCCUGUCACUUUCUCACAGCUCUUCUCUGUUGUUUAGCCACUAAGUCAUGUCCGACUCUUUACAACCCCAUGGACUGCAGCACGCCAGGCUUCCCUGUUCUUCACCAUCU